Oreochromis aureus is the source of this 387-nucleotide long non-coding RNA. The record is from Ensembl. Lineage: Eukaryota; Metazoa; Chordata; Actinopteri; Cichliformes; Cichlidae.
CCCUGUACAUAUAUACGGACUCAGAGGAUGAGCAGCCUACAAAAAAAAUGGUUUCCCCAGGCCCCUCGAGUGAAAAUACCAGCCCUCAUCACUCCGCAGUCUGCCCCCCAGCCCACUGAUAGCAACCAUCAUAAUGCCCCACCCAGCUUCCGGCACCUUUCGCCACUCCGGCACAAACCGACACAGCGUUGCGAUCUCGCCAGCAUGCAGUAUGAUGUCUUCCCUAUAGAUGAUUCCAGAGACUCUGUGAGGCCACUAUUACAAGGUGAGACGCUUUGCGUUGAUUGGUGCUGCUGGACCACACUGGAGGUGCGAGUCCGCCGUGUAAUGGUUUAUGCCAUUACAAAGGAGCUGGCCUCUGUACUCAACUGGGCAGGGAAAAACCAA